RNAcentral lists this transfer RNA (74 nucleotides) under compost metagenome. Its description in RNAcentral is "tRNA-Gln". It matches the Rfam family "tRNA". From Rfam's summary of the family: Transfer RNA (tRNA) molecules are approximately 80 nucleotides in length. Their secondary structure includes four short double-helical elements and three loops (D, anti-codon, and T loops). The record is from RNAcentral.
UGGGGCUUAGCCAAGCGGUAAGGCAUCGAGUUUUGGUCUCGACAUGCCUGGUUCGACUCCAGGAGCCCCAGCCA